AUGUUUAUUGCACUAAUUUGUAACCCUCUGUUAAAGGGUCAUUUUAUUGGAGGCAAAAUUCGAGAGAUUCAUGCCAUCGAACAGGCCACCUUUAAGCAGUGGCAACAGGGAAGGACUUCAACAAGUCGCAGGAAUGAGGAAUCUUCUGGCCUGUUUGAUGUUAGGGAUCAGAUAGAGGAGCUGCUGGAAGCCUCUCGAGGCCUAGAAGAUGUGACCAGACACAUCAAAGAGAUUGCAGCCACAUCAAGGGACCUGACGGCAGUACAGAACCGUGAAUUGAAGGAGACUUUCGCCUGUUUGGUUUGCAAAGGUACAAUGGAAAACCCCAUGUUUUCGGCAUGCUGCAGGAGCCUGGUGGGGUGUAAGACAUGCAUAGGUGAAUGGAUGGCAACUUCAUCUUGUUGCCUUGAGUGCAGAACAGAUGACCCUGUUGUGACUGAGGUUGUGGGUCUGUCUGCUGCUCUGGAUAUCUUUAGGAGUUAUUAAUGAACAUGAUGUGAGCGUUUGUGGAAGCAUACAGUACUCGAAUGUUUUCAUAUUGCAUUUACUGUCCACCUGGCAUAUUUGUGUACAUUUUUAUUUGAUGGUUCUGCAUUGUUUGUUCCCUAAUGCUACCUUACAUUAACAAAACAUUGUUUUGUUCAUGCACACUGUUCUGAUGGAAUCUUUGUAGUAAAUUCAGCUAAGACUAGGUCUACAUGUGGUUUGAAGACUUGACCAAAAGUCGUCUCAUUUGUUUUUAUUGCCAUGUUCAUCUAAUGUCUGUUCUAAAAUGCAUAACUCUGUUUUAAUAUUGGUCAGUCGCCAAAAUGCAGUACCUCACUCCGCCUGAAACGAUCUAUUAUAAGGGGAUACACAUGUAUUUAUGGCUAGUGUGUGUGUGUGUGUAUGUAUGUAUGUAUGUAUGUAUAUGUAUGUGUGUGUGUAUAUAUAUAUAUAUAUAUAUAUAUAUAUAUAUAUAUAUAUAUAUAUAUAUAUAUAUAUAUAUUAGUGCUGUCAAUCGAUUAAAAAAAUUAACUAAUUAAUCACACAAUUUUUUUUAAAUUAAUCGCGAUUAAUCGCAAUUCAAAGACUGAAACUUUUUGGAUAUGUAAAUGUAAAAUGUAAAUAAUUAAUGUAAACUCAAGACAAAGAAACUAUUUAAAUUCAAAAUAUGAUUAUUUAUUGGAAUUUUUGUUUAACUUGUAACACAGAUUUUCUCAUGUAAACAACAUACCUGCAAUAAACCAUCAAUAUCCUCCAAAUUAACUGUUGGCUUGAAAGCCAUAUUUAUUACAGAAAUAAAAAACACAGGCCUGUAAGUGCCAUUUGAAUUCCAAAACAAUCAAUGCCAAUAAAAAACAAAAAUUAUUUCCAAGUUGAAUUCUAAGUGGACUGCAAAAAAAUUCCAAAGUAUAGUCAUUGCCAGUGCUUUAAGUGGGCCGGUACCCACUGGUACUCAGUACCGCCACUUCCAAAUAUAGCUCUUGAGCGUACCGCCACCUCUCCGUGCGCCCAGAACGUGCUUUUAGCGUACUGGUACGCUCAUUUGGACAUCUGUUUUAAUAGAGGUUUUAAUCUUUUACCUGCACUGCCGAUUUUCAGAGCGCCCUUCACAAUGCAAGCUUCCUAAUUCAUCCCACCCAGAGCAGAAACUACAUUACCCAUUCACCCUUAAGUUACACAAGUGAAUAGCGCAUGUGUCGCUUUUCCCACUGUUAAGUGUCAACAACUCAACGUGGCCGGAGAAGGCGUGUGAAACUCGUUGUGAGUGUACACCACACUCGGUUCGGUUAAAAAUCAAAUACAGUUAACAACAACACUUAAUAUGUUUUCUUGGCUUCAGACUCUGAAUACUGCAAGAACAAGACCAGAAUCAGAUGAUUCGCUGACUGACACCUCCCCAAAUUUGAAUCCUAUCACUGCAGGUCAGACUCAAGCUAAUGAAGUAGGCUAAUGCAGCUCUUUCAGGAAGGGUGACCAGAUGUCCCGAAAAAUUCGGGACAGUCCCGAAAUCUAAACUGUUGUACCGACUCCCGAAUCUGGCCCUAAUUGUCCCGAAAAUUAUACUAAAGCAAAAUCUUGAGUAUUUAUUGUCUGAUAAACAUUAAAAACUGUCUGCGGAGGUGGAGUCGUCCUGCAGCCAGCCCCUGCUGGCUGCUCAUUGGCUGCAGCAUCUUUUUUCUAAAAAAAAAAAAGUUCUAAAAAAAUACCGUAGACGGCAAGACACAAAUUUAGAUAUUCAUUUAUCUAAUUAAUCUAUAGCCUAUGCACAAAGACAAUAUGAUCUUUUUGUCCCCUUUUUGUUUUAAAGCUUGAUGAAGAGAGAGAACGCAAGUUGCUGCAGCUGCGAGGAGGACAGUGAUGCACGCGUACAGGGGUGAUUGACAGUUCACGGCACUGUGUACAAAAAAUACUCCGCUACACAAUUAUUUCGUUAUUUUCGUUUAAGCUUAUUAACGUUAGCGUUAUAGAAAGGUCUGAUUUACGCACUGUUACAACAGUCAUUGUUUUUGUUUUUUUGUUUUUAAACAAUGACAUUUGAGUUCAUGAUUUUAAUGUUGCUGUUUCUUGUGGCAGACUGAAUGAAGAGUAAUGUUUCUUGUGGCAGACUGAAGAGUAAUCCGGCAGAGUUUUAUACUGAAACUUUCCGUCUAAAAGUCCUUCCUUGGUCUUAUCCAUAUUUCUUUGCACGUUGAACACACAUAGGCCACAACCGGAAAUAAAAAAAACUGCAACCGCGUUAACGUUUUACGUUAAUUUAACGUUUUACGCGUUAAAUAUUUCAAAUUAAUCGAAUGCAUUAACGCGCUAAUUUUGACAGCAUAUAUAUAUAUAUAUAUAUAUAUAUAUAUAUAUAUAUAUAUAUAUAUAUAUACAGUAUUGUUCAAAAUAAUAGCAGUACAAUGUGACUAACCAGAAUAAUCA
This 2907-nucleotide long non-coding RNA is filed under the name Carassius auratus (goldfish). RNAcentral describes it as "lncRNA (ENSCARG00000021040.1)". The record is from RNAcentral. Lineage: Eukaryota; Metazoa; Chordata; Actinopteri; Cypriniformes; Cyprinidae.